UUGGCUACUAUGCCAGCUGGUGGAUUGCUCGGCUCAGGCGCUGAUGAAGGACGUGCCAAGCUGCGAUAAGCUGUGGGGAGCCGCACGGAGGCGAAGAACCACAGAUUUCCGAAUGAGAAUCUCUCUAACAAUUGCUUCGCGCAAUGAGGAACCCCGAGAACUGAAACAUCUCAGUAUCGGGAGGAAAAGAAAA
This 193-nucleotide ribosomal RNA is filed under the name Haloarcula amylolytica JCM 13557. RNAcentral describes it as "partial 23S ribosomal RNA". It matches the Rfam family "Archaeal large subunit ribosomal RNA", at positions 1 to 206 of the family's 2987-position model. Lineage: Archaea; Methanobacteriati; Methanobacteriota; Halobacteria; Halobacteriales; Haloarculaceae. The record is from RNAcentral.